Molecule: ribosomal RNA, 341 nt
Filed under: uncultured bacterium
Lineage: Bacteria
Description: bacterial SSU rRNA
Rfam family: Bacterial small subunit ribosomal RNA
Source: RNAcentral
GAGUUUGAUCGUGGCUCAGAUUGAACGCUGGCGGCAGGCCUAACACAUGCAAGUCGAGCGGUAGAGAGAAGCUUGCUUCUCUUGAGAGCGGCGGACGGGUGAGUAAUGCCUAGGAAUCUGCCUGGUAGUGGGGGAUAACGCUCGGAAACGGACGCUAAUACCGCAUACGUCCUACGGGAGAAAGCAGGGAACCUUCGGGCCUUGCGCUAUCAGAUGAGCCUAGGUCGGAUUAGCUAGUUGGUGAGGUAAUGCUCACCAAGGCGACGAUCCGUAACUGGUCUGAGAGGAUGAUCAGUCACACUGGAACUGAGACACGGUCCAGACUCCUACGGAGGCAGCAG